Zingiber officinale is the source of this 1210-nucleotide long non-coding RNA. RefSeq lists it as uncharacterized. The transcript is spliced from 5 exons. The record is from RefSeq and is a predicted model, not a curated record. NCBI's taxonomy places the organism in Eukaryota, Viridiplantae, Streptophyta, Magnoliopsida, Zingiberales, Zingiberaceae.
GAGGAAGACUCUCGGGAUAUGGAAGGCCCUCGGACGGAGUAGACGAGGAGGCGGGAUGGACGCAUGAUACUGUCCGCUGUCUAGGAGUGUAGAGCAUAUUGGAUUCAUCGCAAGGGACCUUGUUUCUUUAUUUUAUAAAAGGGGAAUGUUUGGGGAAUUACUGUUCUUAAUCGGUGAGGAAGACUCUCGGGAUAUGGAAGACCCUCGGACGGAGUAGACGAGGAGGCGGGAUGGACGCAUGAUACUGUCUGCUGUCUAGGAAUGUAGAGCAUAUUGGAUUCAUCGCAAGGGACCUUGUUUCUUUAUUUUAUAGAAGGGGAAUGUUUUGGGAAUUACUGUUCUUAAUCGGAAAGUGAGACUAUCAGUCAGCUGCACGCAAAGAUAAAGGAUAUCCUCAACGGGCUUCACACAAUCGACCAUCAGAUAGAAAAUUGAGACUUGAUCAGAACUACAUGAGCAAACUAACACCAAAAUCGAGAAAGGUAUUGUGCUUGUUGGAGGAACAUCAAAAGGAAAAUCCAGAACUAAAUUAGAACCAGAUGGCGAGUCUGCCCUAGACUCAGAUGAUAAAGAAUACUUGGUGAACUUGGUAAGAAAAAUGUUCAUCAGGAGAAAGAAAUACUUUACCAACAAGGAUUUGCAGAAAAUCCACUCCACCUUCAAUCCUAACAACAAGAAUGUGACAUGCUUUGGAUGCAACAAGAAGGGGCACUGCAAGAACGACUGCCUGAGUCUAAAGAAGAAGAAAUCCCUUAAGGCACCUUGGGACGAAUCACCCGCGAAGGAAUUAGAUGGACCAGAAUUGGAGAGUGAAUCGGAAGACGGGUCUGAACCCGAGUCGAGCCACGAGUCUACACUCAUUUCCGAAGGUUCCGAUAAGAUAAAGGUAAAUGGAAGAUGGAUUAGCAGAGGCUGUAGGGCGAUGCGAUAAAGAUGUGUGUGCAAGGAACUUGGAAUAAAGACUCUUGGAGAGUAGCCCACCUAAAGACUUAGAAUUUCAGCUUUUAGUUACUUUUCUGCACUUUUAGGAUGCUAAGUCUCAUGAUUUGUGAACCUAAGGGUUUUGCCAUGCUUAGACUGCUAAUUGUCUUGUUAAUAGAUAGUAAAAUAUGAGUGAUAUUAUGUUUUAGUGAUUUAUGGAAGUUCUGUAUGAAGUCGGGUCUGAUUUCUGCAUAGAUAGUAAAAUGUGAGUGAUAUUAUGUUUUAGUGA